RNAcentral lists this ribosomal RNA (316 nucleotides) under uncultured bacterium. RNAcentral's name for it is "bacterial SSU rRNA". It matches the Rfam family "Bacterial small subunit ribosomal RNA", at positions 28 to 334 of the family's 1533-position model. The record is from RNAcentral.
GACGAACGCUGGCGGCGUGCCUAAUACAUGCAAGUCGAGCGGAUUUCUAGGAGCUUGCUCCUAGCGAUUAGCGGCGGACGGGUGAGUAACACGUGGGCAACCUGCCCUGUAGACUGGGAUAACUUCGGGAAACCGGAGCUAAUACCGGAUAAUCAAUGACACCUCAUGGUGUCAUUGUAAAAGUUGGGUUUACCUAACACUACAGGAUGGGCCCGCGGCGUAUUAGCUAGUUGGUGGGGUAAAGGCCUACCAAGGCGACGAUCCAUAGCUGGUCUGAGAGGAUGAUCAGCCACACUGGGACUGAGACACGGCCCAG